UGGGGAUGACGUCAAGUCAUCAUGGCCCUUAUGUCCGAGGGCGACACACGUGCUACAAUGGCCGGCACAGCGGGAAGCGGAGGGGCGACCCUGAGCGGAUCCCUUGAAAGCCGGUCCCAGUUCGGAUUGCAGUCUGCAACUCGACUGCAUGAAGUUGGAAUCGCUAGUAAUCGCGGAUCAGCCAAGCCGCGGUGAAUACGUUCCCGGGCCUU
RNAcentral lists this ribosomal RNA (212 nucleotides) under uncultured Thermovirga sp. RNAcentral's name for it is "partial 16S ribosomal RNA". It matches the Rfam family "Bacterial small subunit ribosomal RNA", at positions 1174 to 1382 of the family's 1533-position model. Lineage: Bacteria; Thermotogati; Synergistota; Synergistia; Synergistales; Thermovirgaceae. The record is from RNAcentral.